This 319-nucleotide unclassified non-coding RNA is filed under the name fungal sp. Its description in RNAcentral is "partial internal transcribed spacer region". The stretch from base 1 to 46 matches the Rfam family "Eukaryotic small subunit ribosomal RNA", at positions 1786 to 1831 of the family's 1831-position model. The record is from RNAcentral. Lineage: Eukaryota; Fungi.
AAGUCGUAACAAGGUUUCCGUAGGUGAACCUGCGGAAGGAUCAUUACAAAUCUUUUUGCACACUCGAGCAAAUAGAGAUGAGGAUGAGAUAAAAUAUGAUUUUAUUUUAUUCAUUUUCUAUUUGGCUGAGUGAGCACACAUUGGCACAGGGCUUUAUAUGUAUAUGUGUUAUGUGUGGUAUGUAUGUAUGUGUAUGUACAUAUACACUACCUACACUACUACGUAUAUUUGGCCUUGAUGUUUACGCUUGCUUGUUUGACAGAGUAAAAUGAGACAUAUUAAAUAUAGACAACUUUUAACAAUGGAUCUCUUGGCUCUU